RNAcentral lists this ribosomal RNA (250 nucleotides) under uncultured bacterium. RNAcentral describes it as "partial 16S ribosomal RNA". It matches the Rfam family "Bacterial small subunit ribosomal RNA", at positions 524 to 773 of the family's 1533-position model. The record is from RNAcentral.
UACAGAGACUGCAAGCGUUAUUCGGAUUCACUGGGCGUAAAGGGUGCGCAGGCGGCCGUGUGUGUGAGGCGUGAAAGCCCGGGGCUUAACCCCGGAAUUGCACCUCAAACUACAUGGCUAGAGCAUUGGAGAGGGUAGCGGAAUUCACGGUGUAGCAGUGAAAUGCGUAGAUAUCGUGAGGAACACCAGAGGCGAAGGCGGCUACCUGGACAAUUGCUGACGCUCAGGCACGAAAGCGUGGGGAGCAAAA